Molecule: long non-coding RNA, 920 nt
Filed under: Oreochromis niloticus (Nile tilapia)
Lineage: Eukaryota; Metazoa; Chordata; Actinopteri; Cichliformes; Cichlidae
Description: lncRNA (ENSONIG00000035311.1)
Source: RNAcentral
AAGCAGCAUCAAUGCAGACUAAUUGGAUUUUGAUUAUUUUAUCCGUCUUGGUGACCAUGGGACUGCUGAUGGUGGCCCAGAGCCAGUAUCAACUGAAGAGCAUUCUGGACAGCAAGAUUAAAAAAAUGGAUGUAGCGUUUGAGCAAUUUACUGUUGACUAUCUAAGUAAGGACGUCUUCAAAACCUCUGUGGAAAAACUGCUGGUUCAGAGCCAGGAAGAAGUGAAUAAUCUGGAAGCUGCACUCAAUAAACUCAGUUCAGAAACGGAGCAGAAGAAAAUGGAAAACGAUGCAUGCCAAGAACAAAUGAAAACCACACAAGUAGAGCUGGAAAGUAUCCAAAAGACACAAAGUGAAACUAAAGCUUCCUUGGAUGCAGAGGUUGAGGCCUGGACUAAGGAGAUUAACACUCUGAAAGAAAUACAGACACAAUACAGUCCAGUAUGUGCCUAUGUGAAGACGAGCAAGUUAGCUGACAGCAGCUCAGCAGGUGGUUUAAAUCUCCAAAUCUUUGUAGCUGCUAGAAAAGCCUGGAUGCAUAGAGGCGUGGGACUAAUGUAAAGAAACUCCAGAGGAAAGCAGUGAAGUGUGUGACACGGAUGGUAAAUGGCUGUUUAAUAAGUCACUUAUUUAGCAAGGAAGAAUUUGUUUGGAAAAUAUUAUUUUAGUUUCUAAUAAACUGAGGGCAUCAGGUUUGGAUGUACAAUGUGGAGGAAAUGUUUAAUGUACCCCCCAAAAAAUGUUAUUUCAAAUAAAAUGAUUAUGCACGGUUAAAGUUAGUUAAAAUAGCAAAUUUAAUAAUCUUUCGUGUAAGUUAAAAUUAAGAAUCGGACAUAUAACUACAAAAACCUAAUCUUAAAGUACGCUUUCUUUCUUGAAUCCAGAAAUAAGCACUUUACGCCACAAUAAAGUCGGUGUUGC